AGUAUUUCAGCAUCCAGGGUUGUACCAUCAUUGAGCUGCUGUGGUGGUGGGCGUGUACGAGCGGCUAGCUAAAACCCGAAAUAACGUUACAUCGUUUCAUGUGGUGUCGUUUUUCGGACCUCGUCAGUGUUAUUGACUGCUGGGUUUUUAUCUUCCGCGAUGCAUGGGAUGUCGGGAUGACAGGAACAUGGCAAACGGGGUUGGAAAACACAAGCUGCUCGUCUUUGGACCAACAGAGCCAUGGUCAGUGAGGGAGAAGCUGUGUUUGGCAACAUCUGUCAUGAAGAGUGGGGACCAGAACUGGGUAUCUGUCAGUCGAGCAAUCAAACCAUUUGCAGAAUCUGGGCGACCACCUGACUGGUUCUCUCAAAAGCAUUGUGCCUCCAAGUACUCUGAGCUCCUGGAAACAACAGAAGCACCAAAGCGGAAACGUGGUGAAAAGGGUGAAGUGGUGGAGACAGUUGAGGACGUGAUAGUGCGCAGGCUGACCGCUCAGAGGAUUGACGAGCUCAAGAAGUUGAUCAAAGAAACACAAGAGAAGCACAGGAAGCUGAAGAGAGAGACUGAACUGAUUCAAGCAGGACAUCUAGAUUCCAAACUAGAAGAGAUAUGGGCGGAAAUCCAGCAGAAGAAGAAACGGGAGGAGGAGGAAGCAGAAUUGAAUAGAAAGAACACCGAUGCUGCCUAUCAGGCCAGACAGGUGGCAAAGAACACACCUAAGCGAAUGCCCGGCAUCACCAUGCAUUCACCCUCAGGCUGUAGCUCCCCAAAUCAGGACUUCUCACCAGGUGACUCACUCGAGUGCCUGACACUGGAUCUUGCAUCAGCAAAGAAUACGGCAGGAUCAGCCAGAUUAAUGACAAUUCCGGAGACUUCUGGACCUGAUAACGAUGACAUCAGCAUCGGGACACUUCUCGAUGACCCUACCCAAAAGAAGCUCCUGAGCCAGAAAGCAACACCACCGCCCUCCCCGCUUCUGUCCGAGUUACUGAAGAAAGGCAACAUCUUGGCUACAAAUGCUAGACUGAUUGGGGAUGGAGAUGUGUCCAUAACAUCACAUGACCUGCAGCUGGCUCCACCCACCCAACCGCUUUCUCAGGCUACAGGUGCCCCGAUGUUAUCUCGUCUCCUGGAGGCAGGUCCCACCCAGUUCUCUGCCCAGUUAGGUUUCAUGGUCAGUGCAAACUCGGCCUCCAGUGCCUCUCUCUCUGCUGGCACUCCUGUUCCCAUUGGCUCGACAUCCUCUGCAAGCACAGAAGUGGAUGUGAUGGCGCCCUCUGGAUGCCAGCCUGUCUCUGCAGAUGUCAAGGUGUCAGAGCUCAGUGAGGAGGAUGUGACCGUGUCCUACAUGGGAGAUGAGCUGGACCUGAAGACAGUGGGAGACAUCAUCGCCAUCAUUGAGGACAAGGCGGAUGAGACUGCAGAGGCGUUGGAUGCAGCUGCAGUUGAGGCUGCUCUGUCACUGUGUGAGGAGAACAGCCAUGCUUUGUCUGGUGCCUGGACUGCCGGGCCUUUCCAGCCCCAUGAGCCUCACUCAGCAGUACCCACAGGGGUCCAGCAGUCUCUGUCUCUUAGCUGUAGCCUGGAGGGCAAGACAGAGGUGCUGGAAAGUCAGGGUGGGACUUCUGCUUCACUGUCAUCCCUGUGCAACAGUCAAGAUAACUGCUUUGCAGCAUUUUCAGCGGGACUAAGGGGCCAUCCUCCCAUCUCCUCAUGCAACUCGAAAAGUUUGGAGCAUCGCCCCGCCGGAGCAACUCCACAUCCAGAGGCGAUAAGAGAGAGUGGAGAUAUGAAGCACCAGAAACGCCACAUUUCAUUGGAUUUAAACAUAAAAAGUGAGAGUGAGAAGUGGGCACAGCAAAGACUUGAUAAAUCUUCUGGAGACUCAGUAUUAGAAGAUAACCCACUGAAACAAAGGCAUCCAAAGCAGGAGAUGAGAGCGGGGGAUGGACAGAGUGUGGGACGAGGAGAAAACACCUCAGGGAUUAAAGUUCACAACGAGGUCAAUCGACAAGCAGUGUGUGGAGAAGAAGAAGAAGAGGAGGAAGAAGAAGAGGGCGACGGGGUGGAGGGAUUCUUAUCAGAACCGGACGGGGAGAUGGAGCCCGCAGCCAGUGAGAGCGAGGAUGGAUACAGCCUGCACACAGCCUCCUCCUCUCUGCAGCUCCACACAACCGCAGACUCCAUCCCCAGCAGCCCCGCCUCAUCGCAGUUUUCCAUGUGCAGUGAGGACCUGGAAGCUCUGCAGGCUCAGAAAAUCUGGAAGAAAGCCAUUAUGUUGGUGUGGCGUGCAGCUGCCAAUCACAGGUAUGCAAAUGUCUUCCUUCAGCCAGUAACUGAUGAAAUAGCUCCUGGGUACCACAGUAUUGUGCACAGGCCCAUGGACCUGGCCACCAUAAAAAAGAACAUAGAGACCGGUUUGAUCCGGACCACGGCCGAGUUCCAGAGGGACAUAAUGCUGAUGUUUCAGAACGCCGUCAUGUACAACAGCAUGGAUCACGACGUGUACCACAUGGCUCUGGAGAUGCAGCGGGACGUCCUAGAGCAGAUCCAGCAGUUUCUAGCCACCCAGCUCAUCAUGGAGACCUCAGAGUCUGGCAUCAGCGCCAAGAGCCUGCGGGGCCGUGAGAGCACACGCAAACAGGACUCCACUGACAAGGUGCUUCACUAGAAUUUUGACAAAAGCAGAGAGUACAGAAGAAGAGACAAGGGACACAGUCUCCAUGUCCUCUCCUGCCUUCCUUCUUUCUCUCUUUGAUGGAGGCACCAGAGGGCGCCGUUGUGCCAUAGAAGCUGACCUCAAGAUGAAGAAAUGAACCUACAGUGUGAGGAUUUGCCAGAUAGUAUCCCUGAGCUGAUGUGAAAGGUGUGACACUUCAAGACUGAAUUAAUUCAUUGUCAGCUGCACAGACGCUCACUCUGCAUAACUGGCAGUAUAACUUUUUAUUUGCACUCUAGAUAAAAUGGUUUGACUUUGCAGAAUUGCUUACUUCUGAGACAGCCAUACAGUCAUGAAUAACAUACUGUAUAAUUCCAGAUAACAAUGGGGCCUUCAGAAAGACAAGGUCAAACCUUGUACAGCAGCAGCUUCAGAUCACAGAGACCUGCCUGCUCUGGUUUACAUCAGGUUGUAGAAAUGAAAUGGAAAGUUACCUCUUAUCUAAAAAUGAGCUGACAGUUAACCUGAGGGGGCGCUGGUUGAUCUGUGGUUGAUGUUGAUGAAUUUAACAUGUUGGUGGUAUUACCUGAACCCCUAGGCCGAGAACCUCAUUUAACCUGGAAAACCUGAACCAUCGGGGGCACAUACUAAUUUUCAAAAUAUUUUCAUUGCUGGUAAAAAAAAAACAACAUUUUUGUUUUUCCUCAUUUUAAAGAAUCGUUCAGACCUUUGUUGGAUGUGUGUGUAUUUUUUGUGAUGCAUUGACACUCUUGAUGCUACACUUCCUGUAAAACGGUACUUUCAUGCAUACCUUUAGUUGUUUGCAGUAUUUUUGAAAAUAUGUCACGUCGAUGAACUGUUUUGUGGAUUUUCAGACCAAUAAAACUUCUUAAUGAG
Labrus mixtus (cuckoo wrasse) is the source of this 3556-nucleotide RNA transcript. It is a transcript of the gene named bromodomain containing 8a, with no coding region annotated. The record is from RefSeq and is a predicted model, not a curated record. Lineage: Eukaryota; Metazoa; Chordata; Actinopteri; Labriformes; Labridae. The transcript has 20 exons.